This 400-nucleotide ribosomal RNA is filed under the name phytoplankton environmental sample. RNAcentral's name for it is "partial small subunit ribosomal RNA". It matches the Rfam family "Eukaryotic small subunit ribosomal RNA", at positions 587 to 994 of the family's 1831-position model. The record is from RNAcentral.
AGCUCCAGAAGCGAAAGCUAGUGCUGUUGCGGUUAAAAAGCUCGUAGUUGGAUUUCUGCCUUUCUGGAUUGGCGGCUUCUGACCGACGGAAUGUCGGACAGUCGUCCGUUUCUCCUGGGCAUACGGACUCCCUUGCCUCCGGGCUCUGGGAGUCCCAGUUACUUUGAGGAAAUUAGAGUGUUCAAGACAAACAAGCGUUCGUGAAUACCACAGCAUGGAAUAACAACAUACGGCUCUUAGGCGCUGUUGUUGGUUCUAACCAAAGAGCAAUGAUUGAUAAGGACGGUUUGGGGGUGCUCGUAUUUGGAGGCCAGAGGUGAAAUUCAAUGAUUCUCUAAAGACGAACUACUGCGAAAGCAUUCACCAAGGACGUCCCUUUUAAUCAAGAACGAAAGUACGC